RNAcentral lists this small nuclear RNA (21 nucleotides) under Arabidopsis thaliana (thale cress). Its description in RNAcentral is "snRNA_06554". The record is from RNAcentral. Lineage: Eukaryota; Viridiplantae; Streptophyta; Magnoliopsida; Brassicales; Brassicaceae.
GGAAAGGUUCCAUGUGAACGG